AGAUGUAAAGCAAUGCUGCCCAGACUGCAAAGCUGUGCUUGAUGAGCCUGCAUUAUGCUUGUUGUGUGGUAGAUUAUGCCCUUAAGUUGGAAAACAUGCUGCAGUGAUAGUGGAUGUAUGGCUCAUGCAAUGACCUGCGGUGCUGGUACUGGUGUAUAUCUUUUGAUAAGGAGAACAACACUUUUGCUGCAAAGAUGUGCUCAGCAAGCUCCUUGGCCAUCCCCAUAGUUGGAUGCAUUUGGUGAAGAGGAUAUCGAAAUGCAUAGAGGAAAACCACUGUAUACGCUGCUCUAAGUUACAUGGUCGCUUCUCAUGGCCUUGAUCGGAGUUCGAAGGUUCUUGGACAAACUACCAUUGGUACCUUCUUCAUGGUUUAGUUCGGUUUGAUGAUCAAGCUGGUGACGAUGCAUUUGAAUCAGACAUCAAGUGCAAAGAAAAUUGCCGAACAAUGUUUUUAGCUUCCAUAAAUUAUUGUGCAAACUAAGUAAGGAUCUUGGAUUAUGAUGUUGGCAUAUAUGUCCAUUAUGGCUGGACGUACCGGUAAUCAGCUGCUAAGGUUUUC
Molecule: long non-coding RNA, 562 nt
Organism: Hibiscus syriacus
Lineage: Eukaryota; Viridiplantae; Streptophyta; Magnoliopsida; Malvales; Malvaceae
Exons: 7
Source: RefSeq, a predicted model, not a curated record